UCCCUGGCAGUCCAGUGGUUAGGACUCAGCACUCUCACUGCCAAGAGCCUGGGUUCGAUCCCCGGUCAGGGAA
This is a non-coding RNA of Bos taurus (domestic cattle), 73 nucleotides long. The record is from Rfam. Lineage: Eukaryota; Metazoa; Chordata; Mammalia; Artiodactyla; Bovidae.